CGGGUGAGUAACGCGUGGAUAACCUGCCUCACACUGGGGGAUAACAGUUAGAAAUGGCUGCUAAUACCGCAUAAGCGCACAGCACCGCAUGGUACGGUGUGAAAAACCCAGGUGGUGUGAGAUGGAUCCGCGUCUGAUUAGCCAGUUGGCGGGGUAACGGCCCACCAAAGCGACGAUCAGUAGCCGACCUGAGAGGGUGACCGGCCACAUUGGGACUGAGACACGGCCCAA
RNAcentral lists this ribosomal RNA (231 nucleotides) under uncultured bacterium. RNAcentral's name for it is "partial 16S ribosomal RNA". It matches the Rfam family "Bacterial small subunit ribosomal RNA", at positions 103 to 334 of the family's 1533-position model. The record is from RNAcentral.